GUGACGGUGGUGUAAGGCGAACAUCGCUGCCCGGAAAGCAGAAGAUGCGGGUUCGAGUCCCGCCUGACGCA
This is a non-coding RNA of Heligmosomoides polygyrus, 71 nucleotides long. The record is from Rfam. NCBI's taxonomy places the organism in Eukaryota, Metazoa, Nematoda, Chromadorea, Rhabditida, Heligmosomidae.